This 477-nucleotide ribosomal RNA is filed under the name uncultured bacterium. Its description in RNAcentral is "partial 16S ribosomal RNA". It matches the Rfam family "Bacterial small subunit ribosomal RNA", at positions 29 to 507 of the family's 1533-position model. The record is from RNAcentral.
AUUGAACGCUGGCGGCAUGCUUUACACAUGCAAGUCGAACGGUAACAGGUUAAGCUGACGAGUGGCGAACGGGUGAGUAAUGCAUCGGAACGUGCCCGAUCGUGGGGGAUAACGCAGCGAAAGCUGCGCUAAUACCGCAUACGAUCUGAGGAUGAAAGCGGGGGACCGUAAGGCCUCGCGCGAUCGGAGCGGCCGAUGUCAGAUUAGGUAGUUGGGGGGGUAAAGGCUCACCAAGCCGACGAUCUGUAGCUGGUCUGAGAGGACGACCAGCCACACUGGGACUGAGACACGGCCCAGACUCCUACGGGAGGCAGCAGUGGGGAAUUUUGGACAAUGGGCGCAAGCCUGAUCCAGCAAUGCCGCGUGCAGGAAGAAGGCCUUCGGGUUGUAAACUGCUUUUGUACGGAGCGAAAAGGCUCUCUCUAAUACAGGGGGCUCAUGACGGUACCGGAAGAAUAAGCACCGGCUAACUACGUG